UCUAAAUCUGCUUAAAUGAAUGAAUCCUUGAAGUCCCCCUGAUCACAUGAAACAUCCGGGUACUUGGUAACGUUACUUGUUUGCGUCCGCCAUAUUGGAUGAAAGCUAGCUGUUUAUGAAUGUAUUUUCAUUCAUUUCUAUAUUUGAAGGAAAAGUUUUACAUAGAACUAAAAGGCUUACAGAAAAGCUCUUAUAGUGAUGCAAGAAAGUCCUUGUUGCAGUACAAUGACAAUGUCGACACAUUCUGCAGAAGCUUCCACCCUUUGGCCCCACAGUCCGUUCCUCUCCUGCUCGAACCAAUCAGACACUUGGAAUCCCCACCGGGACAAGCUGGAGACCCUUCCUGCUGCGGCAUCUGGCCCAGCGUUUGGAAUAACGAAGGUCUUACAUGUCGGCGCUGGAGGACACUUGGGACAACCUGGGGUCCGAAUCGAUCUCGAAGCGGUAAUGGUAACCUUCCCACACCUCCCUGCAGGCAUCACGCAUGUCAUAGAUGCGUUUCUUGAUGCCCUUGCGGUUCAGAUAGAGCACAAAGAGGAAAAUGAGGCCCACAAAGCCCAGCACGAUCCCCAGGAAGACGUAGGAGGUCUGCAGGGCUAGGUCUGCCCCUGCUCCCCUUUGGCGGCACCCCAGAGUCCCGGACACGCCCACGGAGAGCAUGGAGGUGUUCCUCAUGGCGACAGGGAAGGCGCACACCAGCUCGCUGACGUCUCUAAUGCGUCCUUGCGAGUGGUUGAGCCACUGGACAAAAGGUUCUAUCCCGCAUGUACACAUGAAGGGGUUCUCCCCGAGUAGGAGCUCUGCCUGGGGAAGCGAGUCCAGUUCCCGCAAGCCCUCCUCGGGCACGUUCUUGAGCGAGUUGAGGGUCAAGUCGAGCUCUUGCAGCUCCUCCAGACCGGCCAGCGUGGAGUUGUGAAUGGCCACCAGGGAGUUGUUGGAGAGCAGCAGGCGCUGCAGGCCGUUCAAGUGGGAGAAGAUGCGCGAGGGCAGGUAGAUGAGGCUGUUGUGGGACAGGUCCAAGCCGCGCAAACUGCCCAGCGAGCUCCAGCGCAGCGCCGUGGCCAGGUCGAUCACCGAGGAGUGGUUGUAGAGGGCUCGGCUCAGGUUGAGCUCACGUAGAGAUUUGUUGACCACGGUGAAGGCUUCUGGGUGGAUGACCGCCAGCUGGUUGUUGCUCAGAUCCAGCGAGCGGAGACUUGGGAGACCGGCGAAGCUGUGCGACUCCACCUCGGAGAUCCUGGAGUGAAGGUAGAUCUUGUUGAUAUUGUCGGUAAAUGUGCAUUCUGGAUCAGAUCCAGAUUAAACGUUAAUGUUGCAAAUAAAUGUGCCAUGUGGAAUAGAUCUGCAAUUUAAAUGGCUGCCAAAUCAAAUUGUGAAUUGUCAAUAAAAAUGUCAUUUAAAUCUAAAACAAACGUUAACAUUGAUGUCUGAAAUACAAUCUGGAUUGGAGCUUUAUAAAGGUUUACACCACAACUUAAUAUGCAGCCUGGAUUGAAGCCUUUACACAGCAAAUUCUCAUAUUUUCUCCUGAUAAUUAAUCAAAGAUCUAGUUCAAACCGAACAGUGCAGUAAAUUGCAAUCAUACAUAAAGUGUGCUGUCCUGGAUAGAGUUGCUCCAAUGCAAUGCAGGCAUGGGGGUCUUUUUUCCUUAAGUGGGCAAGACAAAGCCUGUUUAAAACUGCAUGCAAACAAACCAUAUAUAAAUUACCUGUUGUUACAAAGAGAAAGGUUGGUCACAUUAUCCAGGCCUUUAAAAGACUCCGGGCCAAUGCGCAUGAUCUGGUUCCCUGUUAUGAAGAGGUUCCGAGUAUAUCCGGGGAUCCCGACCGGAACGUUCCUCAGGUCUUUGGCCACACACUUCACCGUGUGCGCCGCCUCGGAACACUCGCAGCCCGGAGGACAGGAGGCGGAGGACGCCACCGGUGCUGCGUAAACGGAGCCCAGGAGCGCGUAGAAAAGGAGACUGUGACUAAAGUCCCGCAUGUUUGGUUACAGGAUGAAGGAGAAGAAGAAGAAGAGGAAAGAUGAAGUGAAGAAGGAUCAGCUCCUGAUGCUAAACAUCUCCACCGGCUGCCGUCCCGAGUGGCCGUGCGCCUCAGCCGCGCGUCCUCGCACAAAGUGUGGAGCCUCCGAGCACUUCCAUGUGAACCACCACC
This is a non-coding RNA of Doryrhamphus excisus (bluestripe pipefish), 2156 nucleotides long. NCBI's taxonomy places the organism in Eukaryota, Metazoa, Chordata, Actinopteri, Syngnathiformes, Syngnathidae. The record is from RefSeq and is a predicted model, not a curated record.